Molecule: non-coding RNA, 74 nt
Organism: Paramuricea clavata
Lineage: Eukaryota; Metazoa; Cnidaria; Anthozoa; Malacalcyonacea; Plexauridae
Source: the annotation of a GenBank genome assembly
GACUCUACAGCUCAGUUGGUUAGAGUGCUGCACCGGUAUCGCAGAGCUGCAGAUUCGAUUUCUGCUAGCGGACC